Molecule: ribosomal RNA, 274 nt
Filed under: uncultured bacterium
Lineage: Bacteria
Description: partial 16S ribosomal RNA
Rfam family: Bacterial small subunit ribosomal RNA
Source: RNAcentral
AUACAGAGGGUGCGAGCGUUAAUCGGAAUUACUGGGCGUAAAGCGCGCGUAGGCGGCUUGGUCAGUCGGAUGUGAAAGCCCCGGGCUCAACCUGGGAAUGGCAUUCGAUACUGCCAGGCUAGAGUAUGGGAGAGGGAAGUGGAAUUUCCGGUGUAGCGGUGAAAUGCGUAGAUAUCUGAAAGAACACCAGUGGCGAAGGCGACUUCCUGGCCCAAUACUGACGCUGAGGUGCGAAAGCGUGGGGAGCGAACAGGAUUAGAAACCCGAGUAGUCC